GGCAGGGUAGCUCAGCGGUAGAGCAGGAGACUCAUAAGCUCUUGGUCGCGGGUUCGAUUCCCGCCCCUGCCACCA
RNAcentral lists this transfer RNA (75 nucleotides) under Patescibacteria group bacterium. RNAcentral's name for it is "tRNA-Met". It matches the Rfam family "tRNA". From Rfam's summary of the family: Transfer RNA (tRNA) molecules are approximately 80 nucleotides in length. Their secondary structure includes four short double-helical elements and three loops (D, anti-codon, and T loops). Further hydrogen bonds mediate the characteristic L-shaped molecular structure. tRNAs have two regions of fundamental functional importance: the anti-codon, which is responsible for specific mRNA codon recognition, and the 3' end, to which the tRNAs corresponding amino acid is attached (by aminoacyl-tRNA synthetases). tRNAs cope with the degeneracy of the genetic code in two manners: having more than one tRNA (with a specific anti-codon) for a particular amino acid; and 'wobble' base-pairing, i.e. permitting non-standard base-pairing at the 3rd anti-codon position. The record is from RNAcentral.